This 492-nucleotide ribosomal RNA is filed under the name uncultured bacterium. Its description in RNAcentral is "partial 16S ribosomal RNA". It matches the Rfam family "Bacterial small subunit ribosomal RNA", at positions 29 to 507 of the family's 1533-position model. The record is from RNAcentral.
AGUGAACGCUGGCGGUAGGCCUAACACAUGCAAGUCGAACGGCAGCACAGUAAGAGCUUGCUCUUACGGGUGGCGAGUGGCGGACGGGCGAGGAAUACAUCGGAAUCUACUUUUUCGUGGGGGAUAACGUAGGGAAACUUACGCUAAUACCGCAUACGACCUACGGGUGAAAGCAGGGGAUCUUCGGACCUUGCGCGAUUGAAUGAGCCGAUGUCGGAUUAGCUAGUUGGCGGGGUAAAGGCCCACCAAGGCGACGAUCCGUAGCUGGUCUGAGAGUAUGAUCAGCCACACUGGAACUGAGACACGGUCCAGACUCCUACGGGAGGCAGCAGUGGGGAAUAUUGGACAAUGGGCGCAAGCCUGAUCCAGCCAUACCGCGUGGGUGAAGAAGGCCUUCGGGUUGUAAAGCCCUUUUGUUGGGAAAGAAAAGCAGCAGGUUAAUACCCCGCUGUUCUGACGGUACCCAAAGAAUAAGCACCGGCUAACUUCGUG